This is a long non-coding RNA of Salvia splendens (bonfire salvia), 621 nucleotides long. RefSeq lists it as uncharacterized. The record is from RefSeq and is a predicted model, not a curated record. The transcript has 2 exons. Lineage: Eukaryota; Viridiplantae; Streptophyta; Magnoliopsida; Lamiales; Lamiaceae.
AGCUCAUUUUGUAUUUUCUUUUUUUUUGGGGGGGGGGGGGUGUGUUGAAUGAAUAAUGUUGUUGUUCGUUGUUGUUCCAUAAAUACGAUAUGGAGAUUUUGGUGUGAUAAUACAUCAAUUUUCAAGUACGCAAAAAUGUGUAAAAAGAUAAAGAGUGUGGCGACUGGCGUAGACUACAGCUCCAAGCCUCCAACUACAAUGGAGGCCGUGGCAACCUCUCCUCGACAAAUCCCUCUUCUACGCCUCGCACUCUCUUCCCCAAUCGCCCCUUUCGAUUCCUUGAUCUUCCUCAAUAAUAAGCCUCUUUUCAAAGUGAUUGAUUAUAGUGUUGGAAGUUCCAAAAGCUGCCUUUACAUGAUAUGGCAGGGCCAAAACCAGUUCAGGGUCUUCAAUGUUAACAUUCUGUCAGCCUAUCAUCCCCUUUAUUGAGGAUGGUUGAGAUUUGUUGAUUAUUUACUUACUAGCGCAUACAACAUACUUAUAUAUUUCUUUGUACUCCAUUAAAGAGUUUGUUUUGGUGAGAUGUGUAGCUACUCAACUUAACUGAAUACUAUACACAAUUUGUUCUUUUGUUUGUAUUUUAUUCAACACUUGCUAUAUUUGCUAAAUUACUUGCUGAAA